RNAcentral lists this long non-coding RNA (806 nucleotides) under Monodelphis domestica (gray short-tailed opossum). RNAcentral's name for it is "lncRNA (ENSMODG00000034531.2)". Lineage: Eukaryota; Metazoa; Chordata; Mammalia; Didelphimorphia; Didelphidae. The record is from RNAcentral.
AGAAGACUUUCCCAGGCACACAGCUAGUGAGUUUCUAAGUUUAGAGUUCUCUGGAGAGAGAGAGAGAGAGAGAGACAGACAGACAGACAGACAGAGAGAAAGAACAAAGAAGAGACAGAGAAGAGAGAAAAAAGAGAGAAGAGAGAAAAAAGAGGAGAGAGAAGAAAGAGAAAAGAGAGAAAAAAGGAGAAAGAAGUGAGAAAGAGAGAAGAAAGAAGCGAGAGACAGAGAGGAGAGAAGAAAGAGAAGAGAGAAAAGAGAGAAAAAGAGAGAGAACACGAGAGUGAUAUGGUGAAGAGUGGGGUGUAGAAGGAAGAUUGGAAGGCCACAAAGCCACUGGUGGACAAGUAUUCCAGGGCAAGAGGAUCUAGAGCAGCGUUGGUGAACAUUUUCAAAAUCCAGUACCCAAACUGCAACUUCAAGCUGCAUUAUCUCAGAGAGCAGAGGGAGGAAGUGCUUGCAUUUGGCUACUGGACAGAGGGGUGGGGGCAGGUGAAAAAAGCCAUUGGCAAGGGGGAACAGAGCAAACAGAGCAGUCCUACCCCCCCCCCCCCCGGCACACCUGGGCAUCUGUGCCAUGGCUUUGCCAACACAGACCUAGAGGUUUCAUCAGGCAGGAAUGGUAGUUACAGCAAUGGUCAUUAAAGCUAUCAUGACUGAUAGCUGUGAAAGUAACUGAUCAAGAAUAGAAAAUCCCACUGAAGACAAAGAGAUAUAGAGCAAAAUUUGAUUGAAAAAAGGCUGCUUCAAAGACUAUGAUCUCAGAGAUCACCACUUCAUAAAGAAAUGCUGGUUAUGGACUCUCU